UAUUACACGAAUAUCAUAAGAGUACUAAUUUCUUGAAACUUAUUUUCAAUUUAAGAAAUCAAAGAGAUAAUUAAUUAAGGAAUACACAUCAAUUUUACAUAAAACUAUCUCAUUGCAUGUGAGAGAUGCCUAUUUAUUACUUGAGGUGAAAAUAACACCGAUUUAUUCUCAACUGCUUCGCCCACUGCAUCAGUAAAGUUUUGCAUAAUUUGUUACACCUGCAACAAAACCUCAUCUUUAACACAAGUUGGGUAAAAUAUUAAUAUUUCAGAUGAAUCCUAAUCAGAAAAUUAUAUUGACUAAUAGACAUAUGUAAAAAAUAAAGUGGAGAUAAUAAAGUUUUUUUUCCUGAGAUAGUAUCAUCUAAACAAUUGCAAGAAAAGAUGGAAACCAAAAGCACUUCUCAGAAUAUACUCACUUUUCUCACAAUAGCUAUAUAUCAAAAUGUUCUUUAAAUUGGAAAAUAUGCUCUCCCAAUUCCGCAGAUCUAUCACAAAAAGAGAAAAGGUGAUAUAAACUGCAAUGCUAUUGCAAAAGAAAUUUAAUCACUCCAAUGUUUAAGAAAAACCUUAGAACUUAAUAAAAUAUAACAUAAUUAUAGUUUCUAGUUUAUUUAGAAGCACCAAAAAAAAUAAAAAUAGAAAUCCGUACCUUUUCCACAAAACUUACCGAAAUGCUUGAUAUGUGGACUAACCUCCAUUUUCUGAAUUUGCUUUUGUAGGGUGACAAUGAGUGCCUAAACACAUUGGCCAUUUAAACACAAUAUAUGAGAUGUUAAUGUAUCUAAUUAAUGAGCAAUUAUGGGGAAGGGAAAAAUGUUAUAAGGUUUAAUGAGCAAUUAUGGGGAAGGUAAAAAGUUUGAAACGCUAUAAGGUUUAAGAAAGGUGACAUUUUGAGUUUUUAAAUGGAAUGGUUUAAAGAGUAUAAUAAAGACUCAAGCUAUUAUUGAGCUAAUUUAACAUAAAAAUAAGAGAAAAAAACAAAAAAAGGAGAAAAUAAAUAAAUAGAAUCCUUGGAAAAAGAGAGGUGCCAAGUCAUCAUAUCUAUUUCCUCUUUUAUAUAUAUACCAGUCAAUUUGCCUGCGCUUCGCGCGGUCUUAUACAUAAAAUAUGAAUGAAAAGUUAUUGUUACAUUUUUCAUAAUUUUAUUUUCUCUAUUCUUCAACCAUAACAUUAUCAAUUGUGAUGUAGUUGCAUUUCUAAGAUUGGUUACUUCUUUCUAAAAUCAUCCAGACUCGCUUUCUUUAUUUUUAUACACAUGAAAGCAUACACCUUACUUCAUUGCAAGAAUUUUAUUGGGCUAAUUUGAAGGUUUAAAUUAAGGGAUUAAAUCUUCUUUUAUCGAUGAAAAUAAAAUUGGAUAAAUAGUUAAUGUAAUAUGCUUGAAUGAAUAUAAAUUAUUGACAUUGGUACCUUGUUGUAUUAUUUGCCAUGUAUUGAUGAUAUCCAAAACAUCAUGCCACAAAAUAAUACCAUCACUAUUAAACAAAAAAAAAGAUCUAUAUAUACUAAAACUUAAAAUUCAACAAAACAAAUAGUUCUUUUAAAUAUUGUUAAAAGUUCAACACAAGGUUUAGUUUUCUAUUUCUGUAAUAUCUAUGCAUUAUCAUUCCUUCUCUAAAUCGUACUUGGAGUAUUUUGAAUUUCCAAAAUAACAUAUUAAGGAAAAAGAAAGAAAUGUAACCUUUAAAACACUCGAUGAAUGUUGAGAAAAUGUCACUUUGUGAUAGUUAAUCAAAGUUCACCUCAACGGUUAAUUUUCUUUUGUAUCUCUAUGUAUUUUUGUGAUAUUAUAUUACUAUAAGAAUAUAAAAUGUAUGUCCAAUACCAAACAAUCAAGACAAAAACACAAAUAAAUAAAUUAUUUCCCAAAAAUGAAAGACAAAAGAGAAGAAGAUGAAAGAGGAGGAAGAGAAUUCAUUAAUUCCCACUCCGCUCUAUUUAGACCCAUUUCACUUUUUAAUCAGGCCUAUUCAUUCUACAACCACAAAUGAUAGUAAUAUUCCAUGGAACGAAUAAAAGUAAAACUAUCAAUCACAACAUCGUGUAAAAACGACAUAGAAUAUGUCUGAUGAUAUAUUUCCAAUAUUAUGCAGGAGAAAUAAUAAAAUGUACAACACAUUUUCAGUUACAAACAAAGGUAUUUCUCCCACUUGACACACCAGGAGGACCAUUGACACAAUCCUACAUGCCAAAUCCAUUUAAAUUGUAGAUUGAAAAUAAAAAUUUAACUGCGUAAUACCUUUGUGUAUCCAAAUGGCAUACAUAUAUGUAAUUUGUAUAAAAAAAAAGAUCUCAUACAUAUACACUAACACAGAGACUGUGAACACAACUUUAUGAGAAAAAAGCGAGAGAAUAUAAUGGAUGGAUUGCUUUUCCCUCUAAAAUAGUUCCUGCAACAUCCUUAAAUCCUCAGAUCAUACAUACAUAUAAGUUCCAAUAAUUUGUCACAAAAUAAAGAAUAUAAUUAGUUAGUUAACACAAAACAUUGAAAGUUUUUUUUAAAGAAAGCGCACCUCCUUCCACGAUAUGUCCAAGUAUUGCUCUCAAAAGAAAUAUUGCCAAGGUGAAACAAAUUUAAGCUUUGAAGGGUAAAAGAAGUAGCAAAAACAGUCUAAUAGUGAAGUAAAAAUUACCUAGAAUCGGUUAAGAGGAUGCAUAAAAUAGUGCACGAAAAGAGUCAGUAUCCGUUAAAUAUGAUUACUUUAGAUUAUAGAAUAAAAAAUUAACAGCGCACGAAAUAAUAUAUAAACAUGUUAAUUUAUAUUUUAAUGCACAAAACUAUUUUUUGCAUAAGCGGACACCUGAAUAUACUCCUCAAAGAAAUGCCACAAAAGGAUGAGGCCUCCAACCAUUUGACUGACAAAACUUAUGCUAUGAUUUCUGAAAUUCCCAACUGGUAUAUGUAAUUAUCUUUGUUAGAGUAUAAAAAUAUACUUACUGAGCAAAAACUAUCUUUUCAACCAAUUUCAAACAAAAUGUACCUUCUGCAUACUAUAAAUUUAUUCCUAAGAUGAAAAAAACCUUGUUAAUGCUCACCUUAGCUACACGAAUGUUCAAAUGUUGCAUUAAACAAAGGUUUCCUUCAAGAAAAAGUUUCUAAGCACGACUAAUUGUUGUGAUAGCUAACUUGUGCUAAUGCUUGAGCAAGCAUUGUGCAAGGUUUAUUGUUAUCAAUUAAGUUACUGGUACCUUCAAAAUAGACAAAAUAAAGUACAAUUGUUUUAUCCUUAUUUGUAUUCUUUCUAGAUAUUAUAUCCUUCUUCAGCGUGUUAGUUUAUUUGCAUAAGUUAUAAUAGUUAGCUUUAGACAGUUAUCAAGUAACAUAACAUUUCAUGGUGAAAUAACUCAAUAUUAUGGCACGUAGAGUAAAGCUCAAAAGUACACCUCAAAUAUAAAGUUCUACCACGAUGCUGCUUGUUUGGCUGAAGCAAGUAACAGAGUUGUAUCUAUUAAACAUUUACCUGUAAUAGAUCCAAUUUUUGUGUCUAUACCUUUUUAACCCACUUAUAUUGAACAACAUAAUCUCCACUUGUUGCGUGUCACCAUCACUUGUUUAGUUCCACAUUUCUAUUAAAAAAAAUAUACAACAUGAGAUGCCCAAGACAAUCACUUAAGUAAAAGGAGGAAUGAAUUCCUAUAAGGCAAAAAAGUCCAAUAUUUCAAUAUUAUAUUUGAAUGUUCCUAAAAAAAUACAAUUCUAACAUCGAAAGGAAAAUUGACCCUUAAGUAAAAGAUACUAUUAUAAUACUUCAUGACAGUAUCAUGGAGUUUAACAGAAAUUACCUUUUAAUGUUAAUGUUUCUGUUCCACAUUGACCAUUUCAGAGUCUCUUUCAAGGUUAGAGCAUCUCUAUUCCCAUCUAAUAAAUAUAGUUAAAAAUUAAUGUUAUAAGUUAAUAAAAAAAAUUAAUCUUUACUAAUUAAACAUCUUUUCAUGAUUCUACCAUCUUUUAAUGAUUUUUAACAUCCUACAUAAACUGUAACCUUAUCCUGUGAAGACCCAAAAGGUCAUCACUUGCGUUGCAAGUGUAUUCAGUGUUCCGAGGCCUAAAAACCUCUCUUUUUACCCCACCUUGAUUUACGUGCGUGGUCCGGACCUAUAUUCGGAAAGCUUUCUAUGUGAAAAUAUGAGAAAUAGAAAUUUUAGAGUUAAAACUUUGAUUAUGGUUGACUUUGGUCAACAUUCUUAGCAAACGGACCCGGAUCCGUGUUCCGGCGAUCCCGGGAGGUCCGCAGUAAAAUAUGGGACUUGGGCGUAUGCCCGGAAAUGAAUUCCGAGGUCCCAAGCCUUAGAAAUCAAUUUUUGAAAGAAAUUGUUUUACUGAAUUAUCUAAGGAAUAAAGAAAAGAAUUAAUGUUUGAAACCAUUGUUAUCGGGCCCGUAUUGUUCCGGAACCCGGUACAAACUUGUUAUAGUAUUUGAAAGAUAACUGUGAAAUUUGGUGAAAAACANN
RNAcentral lists this long non-coding RNA (4454 nucleotides) under Nicotiana tabacum (common tobacco). RNAcentral's name for it is "long non-coding RNA (NTAB_LNC010356)". The record is from RNAcentral. Lineage: Eukaryota; Viridiplantae; Streptophyta; Magnoliopsida; Solanales; Solanaceae.